AUUGAACGCUGGCGGCAGGCCUAACACAUGCAAGUCGAGCGGAUGAAGGGAGCUUGCUCCUGGAUUCAGCGGCGGACGGGUGAGUAAUGCCUAGGAAUCUGCCUGGUAGUGGGGGAUAACGUCCGGAAACGGGCGCUAAUACCGCAUACGUCCUGAGGGAGAAAGUGGGGGAUCUUCGGACCUCACGCUAUCAGAUGAGCCUAGGUCGGAUUAGCUAGUUGGUGGGGUAAAGGCCUACCAAGGCGACGAUCCGUAACUGGUCUGAGAGGAUGAUCAGUCACACUGGAACUGAGACACGGUCCAGACUCCUACGGGAGGCAGCAGUAGGGAAUAUUCGGCAAUGGGCGAAAGCCUGAUGCAGCCACGCCGCGUGAGUGAUGAAGGUCUUCGGAUCGUAAAGCGCUGUUAGUAGGGAAGAAGAAAAGUGAAAUUAUCUCUGGAUGUCUUGACGGUACCAAAAGAGAAAGCCCCGGCUAACUACGUG
Molecule: ribosomal RNA, 484 nt
Filed under: uncultured bacterium
Lineage: Bacteria
Description: partial 16S ribosomal RNA
Rfam family: Bacterial small subunit ribosomal RNA
Source: RNAcentral